UAGGGAUCUUCCACAAUGGACGCAAGUCUGAUGGAGCAACGCCGCGUGAGUGAAGAAGGCUUUCGGGUCGUAAAACUCUGUUGUUGGAGAAGAAUGGUCGGCAGAGUAACUGUUGUCGGCGUGACGGUAUCCAACCAGAAAGCCACGGCUAACUACGUGCCAGCAGCCGCGGUAAUACGUAGGUGGCAAGCGUUAUCCGGAUUUAUUGGGCGUAAAGCGAGCGCAGGCGGUUUUUUAAGUCUGAUGUGAAAGCCCUCGGCUUAACCGAGGAAGCGCAUCGGAAACUGGGAAACUUGAGUGCAGAAGAGGACAGUGGAACUCCAUGUGUAGCGGUGAAAUGCGUAGAUAUAUGGAAGAACACCAGUGGCGAAGGCGGCUGUCUGGUCUGUAACUGACGCUGAGGCUCGAAAGCAUGGGUAGCGAACAGGAUUAGAUACCCUGGUAGUCCAUGCCGUAAACGAUGAAUGCUAGGUGUUGGAGGGUUUCCGCCCUUCAGUGCCGCAGCUAACGCAUUAAGCAUUCCGCCUGGGGAGUACGACCGCAAGGUUGAAACUCAAAGGAAUUGACGGGGGCCCGCACAAGCGGUGGAGCAUGUGGUUUAAUUCGAAGCAACGCGAAGAACCUUACCAGGUCUUGACAUCUUUUGAUCACCUGAGAGAUCAGGUUUCCCCUUCGGGGGCAAAAUGACAGGUGGUGCAUGGUUGUCGUCAGCUCGUGUCGUGAGAUGUUGGGUUAAGUCCCGCAACGAGCGCAACCCUUAUGACUAGUUGCCAGCAUUUAGUUGGGCACUCUAGUAAGACUGCCGGUGACAAACCGGAGGAAGGUGGGGAUGACGUCAAAUCAUCAUGCCCCUUAUGACCUGGGCUACACACGUGCUACAAUGGAUGGUACAACGAGUUGCGAGACCGCGAGGUCAAGCUAAUCUCUUAAAGCCAUUCUCAGUUCGGACUGUAGGCUGCAACUCGCCUACACGAAGUCGGAAUCGCUAGUAAUCGCGGAUCAGCACGCCGCGGUGAAUACGUUCCCGGGCCUUGUACACACCGCCCGUCACACCAUGAGAGUUUGUAACACCCGAAGCCGGUGGCGUAACCCUUUAGGAGCGAGCCGUCUAAGGUGG
Molecule: ribosomal RNA, 1117 nt
Filed under: Lacticaseibacillus casei
Lineage: Bacteria; Bacillati; Bacillota; Bacilli; Lactobacillales; Lactobacillaceae
Description: bacterial SSU rRNA
Rfam family: Bacterial small subunit ribosomal RNA
Source: RNAcentral